Molecule: ribosomal RNA, 672 nt
Filed under: Triticum aestivum (bread wheat)
Lineage: Eukaryota; Viridiplantae; Streptophyta; Magnoliopsida; Poales; Poaceae
Description: partial small subunit ribosomal RNA
Source: RNAcentral
GAGAACACAAGGUCUUGCCGUUGCGAGUGCCCUGCACUGAUAAGGUUGUUGAGAUCAAAGGACAAUGGCUGGUACAUAGCAGAGCACCAUGAGCAGCACACUCAUUUGUUGUCCCCGACGUAUGGGCAAACGAUACACUGGUCAUCACACAAGCAUAUAGAUGUCUACAACCGGGAUUUGGUGAAGAAGCUUCGGCAGAAUGUCAGCCUUGCAAAGGUGUACAACAUUAUUGGCAGCUUCUUUGGAUCCAUGGAAAAGGUCCCUUUCACAAAGAGGGUGUUGAAGAAUCUGUGUGGUAAGAUAAGCCAUGAGCAGGCAGAGGAUGAUGUAAGGAAAACAAUGGAAGUUUUUGCCGAGCUUUUUGCGAGAGAUCCAACUUGCACCCUUCACCAUGUGCAAGCUGAGAAGGACGGUAGGGUCACAUCGUUGAUGUGGGAAAAUGGAAGUAGUAGAUAGCAGUACACCUUCUUCGACAAUGUUGUUAUGUUUGACAUGACUUACAAGACAAACCUCUAUAAUACGCCCUUUGGGCUUUUCGUCAGAGUUAACAACCAUUUUCAAAGCAUAAUACUCGCGGGAGUGCUAGUCCGUGACAAGAUGGUGGAGACAUUUGAGUGGGCUAUCUCUGAGAUCAUUAGGAUGAUGGGAGGCAAUGCGCCAAAACAAUUUUGA